CNGAGAGGACGAACAGCCACACUGGCACUGCGACACGGGCCAGACUCCUACGGGAGGCAGCAGUAAGGAAUAUUGCGCAAUGGGCGACAGCCUGACGCAGCGACGCCGCGUGGGGGAUGAAGGUCUUCGGAUUGUAAACCCCUUUCGGCAGGGAAGAUGGAACGGGCAACCGUUCGGACGGUACCUGCAGAAGCAGCCACGGCUAACUUCGUGCCAGCAGCCGCGGUAAUACGAAGGUGGCAAGCGUUGUUCGGAUUUACUGGGCGUACAGGGAGCGUAGGCGGUUGGGUAAGCCCUCCGUGAAAUCUCCGGGCCUAACCCGGAAAGUGCGGAGGGGACUGCUCGGCUAGAGGAUGGGAGAGGAGCGCGGAAUUCCCGGUGUAGCGGUGAAAUGCGUAGAGAUCGGGAGGAAGGCCGGUGGCGAAGGCGGCGCUCUGGAACAUUUCUGACGCUGAGGCUCGAAAGCGUGGGGAGCAAACAGGAUUAGAUACCCUGGUAGUCCACGCCUUAAACGAUGGAUACUAAGUGUCGGCGGGUUACCGCCGGUGCCG
This 551-nucleotide ribosomal RNA is filed under the name uncultured organism. RNAcentral's name for it is "SSU rRNA". It matches the Rfam family "Bacterial small subunit ribosomal RNA", at positions 292 to 848 of the family's 1533-position model. The record is from RNAcentral.